This 468-nucleotide ribosomal RNA is filed under the name uncultured bacterium. RNAcentral's name for it is "partial 16S ribosomal RNA". It matches the Rfam family "Bacterial small subunit ribosomal RNA", at positions 28 to 507 of the family's 1533-position model. The record is from RNAcentral.
GACGAACGCUGGCGGCGUGCUUAACACAUGCAAGUCGAACGGAAAGGCCCUGCUUUUGUGGGGUGCUCGAGUGGCGAACGGGUGAGUAACACGUGAGUAACCUGCCCUUGACUUUGGGAUAACUUCAGGAAACUGGGGCUAAUACCGGAUAGGAGCUCCUGCUGCAUGGUGUGGGUUGGAAAGUUUCGGCGGUUGGGGAUGGACUCGCGGCUUAUCAGCUUGUUGGUGGGGUAGUGGCUUACCAAGGCUUUGACGGGUAGCCGGCCUGAGAGGGUGACCGGCCACAUUGGGACUGAGAGACGGCCCAGACUCCUACGGGAGGCAGCAGUGGGGAAUAUUGCAGAAUGGGCGGAAGCGUGAUGCAGCAACGCCGCGUGCGGGAUGACGGCCUUCGGGUUGUAAACCGCUUUCGCCUGUGACGAAGCGUGAGUGACGGUAAUGGGUAAAGAAGCACCGGCUAACUACGUG